Molecule: small nuclear RNA, 103 nt
Organism: Neomonachus schauinslandi (Hawaiian monk seal)
Lineage: Eukaryota; Metazoa; Chordata; Mammalia; Carnivora; Phocidae
Source: RefSeq, a predicted model, not a curated record
GUGCUUUCUUUGUCGCACAUACACUAAAAUUGUAACAAUACAGAGAUUAGCGUGGCCCCGACACAAGGAUGAUAUGCAAAUUUAUGAAGCAUUCCGUUUUAAA